GUUUCAAUUCCUCAUAGGCAGGCUAUCGGCUUCAGGAUGCUGUGGAACGUAAGAAUGCCAGUUUGGG
This 67-nucleotide small RNA is filed under the name Acididesulfobacillus acetoxydans. RNAcentral's name for it is "Peptococcaceae bacterium INE non-coding RNA". Lineage: Bacteria; Bacillati; Bacillota; Clostridia; Eubacteriales; Peptococcaceae. The record is from RNAcentral.